Molecule: long non-coding RNA, 207 nt
Filed under: Mytilus galloprovincialis (Mediterranean mussel)
Lineage: Eukaryota; Metazoa; Mollusca; Bivalvia; Mytilida; Mytilidae
Source: RNAcentral
AGAAGAUUAUGGAACAUCUGUUUUGUGUGGUUUUUGUUUGUUAAAAUGAACAAGACAUUCAAACUGUGAGAACUUAGGCAUCUAAAUGUAGGGAAAAAAGGCAGAAUUUAGGAUUGACACAUAGAAACAAAUUUUAGAGGAAGCUUGCAUUUGGUGUAAUAUUCUCAUAGCAAUUCCACAUGGUAAAAAAGGAAAGGGAAACCCGAA